RNAcentral lists this ribosomal RNA (387 nucleotides) under Triticum aestivum (bread wheat). Its description in RNAcentral is "partial small subunit ribosomal RNA". Lineage: Eukaryota; Viridiplantae; Streptophyta; Magnoliopsida; Poales; Poaceae. The record is from RNAcentral.
AUGUUCUACACCUUUGCCGACUUCAGUAUUGAAGGUGACAAAGAGAUGCUGCGAAGUUCUGGUUUGGAGAUCAACCCCGACAAGUACAUCGACAUCCAUCGCAAAUGGAGAGUUCCGUUCAAGGGAAGAAAGAGGUACCACUCUUUGGCUGAUGUUGCAGGGAGCAUGAUCCACCCAUUCUACAAACAGAUGAAGGAUAAGAUUGACAGGGUUGAAGACCAUAAACUGUGGGGGAUCAGCCCACUGCCAAAUUACCUCAUCGAGUAUGCAGCGAUAGAUGCGUACGCCACCUACGAGUCUUGGAAGAGAAUUGAAAACAUCAGAGAAGGACUGGAGAGUGCAAAAGAGGCAGAGAAGAAUUAUGACGAUCCUUACUACGUCUACUAG